UUUGACUUUGUUUACGUAAAUUUAUAAAUAUAAAAGUUACAUAAAGAUUACAUAUUUUGGGAGGUGUAUAUGUACGUAAAUUUGUUAUGGUUAUGAACAUGUAUAUCAUAGUUCAACGUAAGUUUAAUAUUUAUAUAUUUAUUGACUAAUAUAUAUAACAUACAAUUACUGAUUGUUCUAAUAUAAUAUGUUUUGUUUUGUUUAUGCUUUAUUGACUAGAGAUGAAGAAUUCAAAAACCGAUUGAGUACGUGAUGGAAAUAGUAAAGCUUAUCGAAGGAAACAAAAAUCAUGACUCGAUGAAAACAAAGAUGGUCUCAUGUAUCAAAGUAUUGAAGAAAGAAUACUUUGAUUCAUGUAUCAUAAAACCUAGUUAUGAUAUAUGAGAUAUGCAUGAUAUGUUCAAUAUAUUUGAAAAUAAUUCCCAAAGCUUUUCAAAAGCAAACAAGGUAAAACUAUAUAUGUUUGUUAUAAACUUUUAAUUUUAUGAAUA
Molecule: long non-coding RNA, 491 nt
Filed under: Capsella rubella
Lineage: Eukaryota; Viridiplantae; Streptophyta; Magnoliopsida; Brassicales; Brassicaceae
Description: long non-coding RNA (CRUB_LNC000943)
Source: RNAcentral